GACGAACGCUGGCGGCGUGCCUAAUACAUGCAAGUAGAACGCUGAAGGAGGAGCUUGCUUCUCUGGAUGAGUUGCGAACGGGUGAGUAACGCGUAGGUAACCUGCCUGGUAGCGGGGGAUAACUAUUGGAAACGAUAGCUAAUACCGCAUAAUAGUAGAUGUUGCAUGACAUUUGCUUAAAAGGUGCAAUUGCAUCACUACCAGAUGGACCUGCGUUGUAUUAGCUAGUUGGUGAGGUAACGGCUCACCAAGGCGACGAUACAUAGCCGACCUGAGAGGGUGGUCGGCCACACUGGGACUGAGACACGGCCCAGACUCCUACGGGAGGCAGCAGUAGGGAAUCUUCGGCAUUGGACGGAAGUCUGACCGAGCAACGCCGCGUGAGUGAAGAAGGUUUUCGGAUCGUAAAGCUCUGUUGUAAGAGAAGAACGAGUGUGAGAGUGGAAAGUUCACACUGUGACGGUAUCUUACCAGAAAGGGACGGCUAACUACGUG
Molecule: ribosomal RNA, 495 nt
Filed under: uncultured bacterium
Lineage: Bacteria
Description: partial 16S ribosomal RNA
Rfam family: Bacterial small subunit ribosomal RNA
Source: RNAcentral